This 257-nucleotide unclassified non-coding RNA is filed under the name Chytridiomycota sp. RNAcentral describes it as "partial contains small subunit ribosomal RNA, internal transcribed spacer 1, and 5.8S ribosomal RNA". The stretch from base 1 to 46 matches the Rfam family "Eukaryotic small subunit ribosomal RNA", at positions 1786 to 1831 of the family's 1831-position model. Lineage: Eukaryota; Fungi; Chytridiomycota. The record is from RNAcentral.
AAGUCGUAACAAGGUAACCGUAGGUGAACCUGCGGUUGGAUCAUUAAUAAUGAACCACUCUAGGGUCGAGUCUUUACUAGCUUGCUGGUAUCGAUUCCCUUAGGGUAUAAACCACUGUGCAUCGUAAUGUUUUUUGGGAGAUGUGCGAUAGGGUAACCUGUCCUGCUCCCAGCGUUAUCAACCAACCUAUUAAAUUUAUCUGAUUUUUUUUCGAAUGAAAAUAAAAACAACUUUAGACAACGGAUCUCUUGGCUCUC